RNAcentral lists this unclassified non-coding RNA (1417 nucleotides) under Hevea brasiliensis (rubber tree). Lineage: Eukaryota; Viridiplantae; Streptophyta; Magnoliopsida; Malpighiales; Euphorbiaceae. The record is from RNAcentral.
UGGGUCAUAUGAAAGAAUACAUUAAUGGAUUCAACACUACAUUUAACUCAAUCUUAAAAUGAUGAGUCUGCAGAUAUUUCCUACGCAUACGCAUAUGUUUCUUACUUGUUUAUCUUUUUCUAAUGUAGAAAUUCUACACUUACACAUUUCCAAGAGUUUUAAAUUUGAACUAAUUAAUUUGAAAGCUCAAUCUAUAUGUAUAUACACAUACAAAGUUAUUAAUAAGGUUCUUUGAAGUAGAUGACAUAAAUGAUACAACCAAUUGCAAAAAGUAUAAUAAAGAUAUCAAUAGUGAUGGCUGAGACUGCUUGAUCACUAAGCUCCAUGUUUCUUCCUCCAAGGCGAUCAACCAUGUCUGGAACAGAUCGAUAGUUGUCCAAGUCUUGCUGAUAAGGGUCUUCCAAUUUCAUUCUCAGUUUCUCUGCUUGACGGCUUGCAGCUUCCUGAGCAAGUGUCCAAUCAUAGAACUUGCGCUUCUCCUCAUUGCUUAAUACAUCGUAAACUAGUCUCAAUUUCAUGAACUUUUCUGAAGCAGACUUUAGUGGAAGUGAAGUUGUGUCUGGAUGGUACUCUUUUGAUAGCCUCCUGUAAGCUGCUUUAAUCUCUUCCAAAUCUGCAUCAGCUGAUACACCUAAGAACCUGUUCAAUUUUAGUUAGUUCCAGAGUUACUGGACUAGUCAAUUAUCUCUGAACUUACCCAUACCUUGUCAAGAAAUUUCUAAACUACUAAACAAUGUUUGAUUCAUCUUGGAAAUUAUGAAUUAUCAAAUUAUACUCUAAUAUUGAAAUUAUAAUAUAUUUAAUUGAAUUUCAUUGCGUCUUGUACUUCUAAUGGAUGAAUUUGAUGAUCAUGAAGAUAGCAAAUUAAAAAAAUUAAAAGAAAGCAAAUAUGGCAGAGGCGAAAAGUAGAGACUCACUGGUAAUGAGAACCAGAAGCAUCUUUAAGCAAUUCAGCGAAAUUGUCACCCAAGAGAUUCUUCUGCUCUUCUUCUGCAUUCAAGCGUUGCUGCGAAGUGCUGCUGCUUCCUCCAAUCCAUCCUUCAUCUGGGUUUUCCCAAUGGAUUCUUGUAUCUACUCCUGGGGGUGCUCUUUGGCGCUUUUGAGGUCCUUUUGAUGCGGCCGAAGCACGAAACUGAUUCUUGUGUUUUCUUCUCGUUGUGGCUCUUCUUAUCAGUAGUUGAUGCUGGUCUUUAUGGGAUUGGCAGGCGUUUUGGGUCCUGAGUAAGAGAGAAUAUACAGCUUGCGGGGCAGUGGUGGAUGCCAUUAGAGAUAUAGAGAAGCUUGAAUGGCAUGGUUGCUUUACAAGAUGAACGGGGUAAGUUUCGUAGCCUCAUGUUUCUGUGGCUCUGGGUGUUGAUUAGUUCCCAUUUUGGCUUUUUCUUUGUUCACUGCCAAAUUGCCAAUAACAUGGUGCUAA